CACACACUCACCACCAUCAGUCAACAGAAACAUGCUCUCAAAUCUGUGGAAAUUUGAGUUCUAAAGAAUGUAAGGCUGUUUUAAAAAAAACUAUCUUGGCUGUUGACAGGAAUGUGAGAUAAAGCUAUGUCUCAAACAGAUGCGUGUGACCAGACUAAAAAUGUUUAUGCUUGAACUCUUCAUCAUCAUGUGAGUCAAUGGGAUUAACUCUCCCUCUGAAACAUGCCUCCAGUGGUUUUUUUCGAGGAACUGCAACUUUUAAUUGUUUCAGAACUUGACGGAGAAACAGUGAAUUAUCUCCUUUUCAUUCCUUUUUUUUUAAUUUGGACAUUGUUUCUAACCGUGGCCCUCAGUUCAUCUCCCAGGUCUGGAAGGCUUUCUGCUCCGCCUUGGGGGCAACGGUCAGUUUCACUUCUGGAUAUCACCCCCAGUCCAACGGUGAAGCAGAGAGGGCCAACCAGGAACUGAAGGCAGCUUUGCAUUGCCUGGUGGCACAGAACGAGGACUGGUCCCAGUACUUAGUGUGGAUUGAGGAUUUGAUUUGGCGGUUACUUCUGUCCAGCAACAUCUCCAGCGUUGCCAACGCGUCUGGCGCCAAACCACAGCUGCUCUCCUCCGCAUCAAGGAGAGCAACUGCUACAUUGCCAAUCGUCACAGGGUGGUGGAACCCACUUACCAGCCUGGUCAGAGGGUAUGGCUCUCUGCUCACUACAUACCUAUUCAAGCCACCUCCCGGAAACUGGCUGCAUGGUUCAUCGGAUCCUACACUAUUGAAAGGAUCAUCAAUCCUACCUGUGUCCGCCUCCGUCUUCCACUAGCACUCAAGGUACACCCCUCCUUUCACAUCUCCCAGAUCAAACCUGAACAGGACAGUCCUCUGUGCCCGCCUCUCAUAGAGGAUUUUUUUCCGGGCCCAUCCUGAUCGCCGUCCUGGACCGCCUGGAGGCGGUUGUUGAGGGGGGGGGGGGUACUGUCAUGGUGCCUCUGUCAGCUCUCCUCCCCCUCCCCUCUCUGCUUGGCCACUAAUUCAUCCCAGCCUCGUCCACUCAACUCAUCACCCUGCCAGACCUACUUAAGGAGCUCCAGGAUCAACAUUCAUCCCCAGUUCGUUGCCCCUGAUGGAACCUUAUUCCCACGAGUGGACGCCUGAAUCCGUGAUUACCCAAGCUGAACUUCAUCCGAAGUUACCUCCCCUCGGAGCUUCAUCAAGCUGUGGGAUGCUUCACGAGCCAUUGCCGGACCUCCAGCCACGCCACGAGCCAUCGCCAAACCUCAAGUCUCGUCGCCUUUCUACCGCAACACAAAACCAACAUCAUCGGAGCAAUAAAACCUCCUACUUACCUUAA
This is a long non-coding RNA of Oryzias latipes (Japanese medaka), 1346 nucleotides long. RefSeq lists it as uncharacterized. The record is from RefSeq and is a predicted model, not a curated record. NCBI's taxonomy places the organism in Eukaryota, Metazoa, Chordata, Actinopteri, Beloniformes, Adrianichthyidae.